This is a non-coding RNA of Piliocolobus tephrosceles (Ugandan red Colobus), 570 nucleotides long. The record is from the annotation of a RefSeq genome assembly. Lineage: Eukaryota; Metazoa; Chordata; Mammalia; Primates; Cercopithecidae.
GGACACAGCCCACUCUGAUGCAUCCCUUACAGAACUCAUUAUAUAGCAGGAGACAUGCAAAUAGGGUCCUCCCUCUGCUUAUAUGAGAACUAACCUAGCCCUGACCCUGCAGCCCUGGGAGAGGAGUCCCAGCCCUGAGAUUCCCAGGUGUUUCCAUUCGGUGAUAAGCACUGAACACAGAGGACUCACCAUGGAGUUUGGACUGAGCUGGGUUUUCCUUGUUGCUAUUUUAAAAGGUGUCCAGUGUGAAGUGCAGCUGGUGGAGUCUGGGGGAGGCGUGGUACAGCCUGGGGGGUCCCUGAGACUCUCCUGUGCAGCCUCUGGAUUCACCUUUGACGAUUAUGCCAUGGGCUGGGUCCGCCAAGCUCCAGGGAAGGGUCUGGAGUGGGUCUCUGGUAUUAGUUGGGAUGGUGAUAGCACAUACUAUGCAGACUCCGUGAAGGGCCGAUUCACCAUCUCCAGAGACAACGCCAAGAACUUCCUGUAUCUGCAAAUGGGCAGGCUGAGAGCCGAGGACACGGCCUUGUAUUACUGUGCAAAAGAUACACAGUGAGGGGAAGUCAGUGAGAG